UACAGAGGGUGCGAGCGUUAAUCGGAAUUACUGGGCGUAAAGCGUGCGCAGGCGGUUUUGUAAGUCUGUCGUGAAAUCCCCGGGCUCAACCUGGGAAUGGCGAUGGAGACUGCAAGGCUGGAGUUUGGCAGAGGGGGGUAGAAUUCCACGUGUAGCAGUGAAAUGCGUAGAGAUGUGGAGGAACACCGAUGGCGAAGGCAGCCCCCUGGGUCAAAACUGACGCUCAUGCACGAAAGCGUGGGGAGCAAACAGG
Molecule: ribosomal RNA, 253 nt
Filed under: uncultured bacterium
Lineage: Bacteria
Description: partial 16S ribosomal RNA
Rfam family: Bacterial small subunit ribosomal RNA
Source: RNAcentral